This 430-nucleotide ribosomal RNA is filed under the name uncultured bacterium. RNAcentral's name for it is "bacterial SSU rRNA". It matches the Rfam family "Archaeal small subunit ribosomal RNA", at positions 339 to 776 of the family's 1478-position model. The record is from RNAcentral.
GCGAGAAAACUUUGCAAUGUGCGAAAGCACGACAAGGUUAAUCCGAGUGGUUUCUGCUAAAGAAACCUUUUGUCAGUCCUAGAAACACUAACGAAUAAGGGGUGGGCAAGUUCUGGUGUCAGCCGCCGCGGUAAAACCAGCACCUCAAGUGGUCAGGAUGAUUAUUGGGCCUAAAGCAUCCGUAGCUCGUUUUGUAAGUUUUCGGUUAAAUCCAUACGCUUAACGUAUGGGCUGCCGGGAAUACUGCAUAACUAGGAAGUGGGAGAGGUAGACGGUACUCGGUAGGAAGGGGUAAAAUCCUUUGAUCUAUUGAUGGCCACCUGUGGCGAAGGCGGUCUACCAGAACACGUUCGACGGUGAGGGAUGAAAGCUGGGGGAGCAAACCGGAUUAGAUACCCCAGUAGUCCCUGAGCGGGCUGGCAAGGCGCAU